RNAcentral lists this ribosomal RNA (459 nucleotides) under uncultured bacterium. RNAcentral's name for it is "bacterial SSU rRNA". It matches the Rfam family "Bacterial small subunit ribosomal RNA", at positions 77 to 557 of the family's 1533-position model. The record is from RNAcentral.
AGUUUACUAAAUGGAUUAGUGGCGCACGGGUGAGUAAUAUAUAGAUAACGUGCCUCUUAGUCUGGGAUAGCCAUUGGAAACGAUGAUUAAUACUAGAUACUCCUUCUAACUCUAAUGUUAGUUGGGAAAGUUUUUCGCUAAGAGAUCGGUCUAUAUCCCAUCAGGUAGUUGGUAGUGUAAGAGACUACCAAGCCUAUGACGGGUAGCGGGUUUGAGAGGAUGAUCCGCCACACUGGUACUGAGACACGGACCAGACUCCUACGGGAGGCAGCAGUGAGGAAUAUUGCACAAUGGAGGAAACUCUGAUGCAGCAACGCCGCGUGGAGGAUGACGCAUUUCGGUGUGUAAACUCCUUUUAUAUGUCAAGAAAAUGACGGUAGCAUAUGAAUAAGCACCGGCUAACUCCGUGCCAGCAGCCGCGGUAAUACGGAGGGUGCAAGCGUUAUUCGGAAUCACUGG